AAAGCUCAAAUUUGAAAUCUGGCGCCUGCGGUGCCCGAGUUGUAAUUUGGAGAGGCGACUUUUGGAGGGGCCCGGCCUAAGUUCCUUGGAACAGGCCGUCACAGAGGGUGAGAAUCCCGUUCGCGGCCGGACGCCCCGUCCUGCACAAAGUGCCUUCUACGAGUCGAGUUGUUUGGGAAUGCAGCUCAAAAUGGGUGGUAAAUUUCAUCUAAAGCUAAACACUGGCGAGAGACCGAUAGCGCACAAGUAGAGUGAUCGAAAGAUGAAAAGCACUUUGAAAAUAGAGUCAAAAAGUACGUGAAAUUGUUGAAAGGGAAGCGCUUGAGGCCAGACUCGGUCCACGUCAAACAAACCUCUCUUCUCUGGUGGGUGCACUUGUCGUGGGCCGGGCCAGCAUCGGUUGGGACGGCGGGAUAAAGGCUCGGGGAAUGUGACUCCCUCGCGGAGUGUUAUAGCCCCGGGCGCCAUGCCGCCCGCCC
RNAcentral lists this ribosomal RNA (479 nucleotides) under Tuber gennadii. RNAcentral's name for it is "eukaryotic LSU rRNA". It matches the Rfam family "Eukaryotic large subunit ribosomal RNA", at positions 104 to 584 of the family's 3401-position model. Lineage: Eukaryota; Fungi; Ascomycota; Pezizomycetes; Pezizales; Tuberaceae. The record is from RNAcentral.